Acinonyx jubatus (cheetah) is the source of this 1357-nucleotide long non-coding RNA. RefSeq lists it as uncharacterized. The record is from RefSeq and is a predicted model, not a curated record. The transcript is spliced from 5 exons. Lineage: Eukaryota; Metazoa; Chordata; Mammalia; Carnivora; Felidae.
GUAAACUGAGAGUGGGGGAAGCUAGCCCACUGGAUGUAGCCAAGGGUUCCUGCCUUCUUGAGUGUAGCUACACUGAGCUGUGACGGGCACCGGGGACAGGGAAGUACACAAAGACCCGAAGCCAAGCGUGCGGGCCUCGAGACUUUCGGCUCAGGGCACAAGUCUCCACUGUUUGCCAGCGGGGUGUUGUUGGGCAAGUCAUUUCAUUUCUCUUCUCUCUGUCCCAGUUUCCUGGUCUAUAAAAUGGAAACAACGAUAGUGCCCGCUUCGUGGAGCUCUUACAACGAUGAGGAAACAGAGGCCCUAGAAGAACUGUGAAGGGGAAAAAUCAGGACUGGACCACUGGAAUGCUGUGCUCCCGACUCCUCAUCGGGGCUCUCUCUGUCCUUCGGCUCAGAGAGGAGGCAUCGCCCCACGACAAGGUAGGGUUUCCUCCGCUGGAGACACAGCACAUUCUGACUCACCUAGAGAAUCAUGGCAUCUCGAGGCUACAAGAGACUUUACGGGGGUCAUCUGACCCGCUGCCAAUUUGAAAAUGGAGUUUGGUACGGCAGAUGUCUCCAACUUCAGACGAGAAACUGAGGUACGGAGAGUUUAAGCAACGUGCUCACAAGUUAUUUAGGCGCUGCGCUAGCUUUGAGGAGGGACGUCGUUUCUGUUGUUCGAGGCCACCCUGCUUCCCACCCAACACCGCGCUAAAGCUGCCCUCACCAGAGUUACCAGGAACCUCAAUGUGGAUCAGCCCCAGAGACACCUUCCAGGGACCUUCCUAGACCUCACGGCCCAUUAGAUGCCUUUGCCAAGUCAAGAUCAUCUCCCUUCUUUGGGAUGGCUGGGAAAGAACCCCAGGGCCCCAGGAUCAGACGUGGAGACGUGGAGGGGCUUACCGCCAGCCACCCCUCUGCUUGGCUCCCUGGAGGGGAGUGGGGAGGGCCCCUUCCCCUCAUCUCUGAUGAUUGAACCAAGUUCAUGUUCAGAAUGUAUAUAAAGUUAUUUGGGCCAAAUUUCCAUGUUAACUGUUCAGAGCAGAAAUGCUCAGUGUCAGUUAAAUUUGGUUAGAUUACAAGACAACACAGUCAAGAUCAAGAACAUGUGGCCUGAUUUGAUUUAACCCAGAGAAGAAAUGCCUUUUUCCUUCUGCUCAGCUAUAACAUUAUACAUAUAAAGAUACAUACGUGCUUGCUCUCUGCCAGAAAUGUCAACUGCUUUUGAUCUCUCCCUUUAGAUAUUAAAGUUUCCCCUGCUCACCCCUCUGGUUGGCGGGCCCCUUAAGGGCUUUCAAACCAGUAAACAAGCCUGGAGCUGUUGAGAGGGCGGAAGCUGUUUGCCUUUUGAGCUGGAGCCCCGUAGCCCAAAG